GACGAACGCUGGCGGCGUGCUUAACACAUGCAAGUCGAACGGAAAGGCCCUGCUUUUGUGGGGUGCUCGAGUGGCGAACGGGUGAGUAACACGUGAGUAACCUGCCCUUGACUUUGGGAUAACUUCAGGAAACUGGGGCUAAUACCGGAUAGGAGCUCCUGCUGCAUGGCGGGGGUUGGAAAGUUUCGGCGGUUGGGGCUGGACUCGCGGCUUAUCAGCUUGUUGGUGGGGUAGUGGCUUACCAAGGCUUUGACGGGUAGCCGGCCUGAGAGGGUGACCGGCCACAUUGGGACUGAGAUACGGCCCAGACUCCUACGGGAGGCAGCAGUGGGGAAUAUUGCACAAUGGGCGGAAGCCUGAUGCAGCAACGCCGCGUGCGGGAUGACGGCCUUCGGGUUGUAAACCGCUUUCGCCUGUGACGAAGCGUGAGUGACGGUAAUGGGUAAAGAAGCACCGGCUAACUACGUG
RNAcentral lists this ribosomal RNA (468 nucleotides) under uncultured bacterium. RNAcentral describes it as "partial 16S ribosomal RNA". It matches the Rfam family "Bacterial small subunit ribosomal RNA", at positions 28 to 507 of the family's 1533-position model. The record is from RNAcentral.